AGAGUUUGAUCAUGGCUCAGGAUGAACGCUAGCGGCAGGCUUAAUACAUGCAAGUCGAGGGGCAGCGGGGGUAGCAAUACCUGCCGGCGACCGGCAAACGGGUGCGGAACACGUACACAACCUUCCUAUAAGUGGGGGAUAGCCCAGAGAAAUUUGGAUUAAUACCCCGUAAUAUUAAUAGAUGGCAUCAUUUGUUAAUUAAAGCUCCGGCGCUUAGAGAUGGGUGUGCGUCUGAUUAGGUAGUUGGCGGGGUAACGGCCCACCAAGCCUUCGAUCAGUAACUGGUGUGAGAGCACGACCAGUCACACGGGCACUGAGACACGGGCCCGACUCCUACGGGAGGCAGCAGUAAGGAAUAUUGGUCAAUGGACGCAAGUCUGAACCAGCCAUGCCGCGUGGAGGAUGAAGGUCCUCUGGAUUGUAAACUUCUUUUAUCUGGGAAGAAAUGCAUUUUUUCUAAAGUGUUUGACGGUACCAGAUGAAUAAGCACCGGCUAACUCCGUGCCAGCAGCCGCGGUAAUACGGAGGGUGCAAGCGUUAUCCGGAUUCACUGGGUUUAAAGGGUGCGUAGGUGGGCAGGUAAGUCAGUGGUGAAAUCUCCGGGCUUAACCCGGAAACUGCCAUUGAUACUAUCAGUCUUGAAUACCGUGGAGGUAAGCGGAAUAUGUCAUGUAGCGGUGAAAUGCUUAGAUAUGACAUAGAACACCAAUUGCGAAGGCAGCUUACUACCCGAAUAUUGACACUGAGGCACGAAAGCGUGGGGAUCAAACAGGAUUAGAUACCCUAGUAGUCC
Molecule: ribosomal RNA, 793 nt
Filed under: uncultured bacterium
Lineage: Bacteria
Description: bacterial SSU rRNA
Rfam family: Bacterial small subunit ribosomal RNA
Source: RNAcentral